UUCGUUCCCUUGUUUUACUAAAUCGUGCGCAAGACAUUACUAAAUCAUUGCCACGUUUUAGUUUAAUCAAAUCAAGCACGAACUAUUAUAUCAUGCGCAUAGGCUGGCUUGACUUUAGGCACUACACCGGAUGUUCACAGAUGACGACUCACUUGACUGGGGCAACUUACAGCUGUUGAUUCCUUCUCAAAGUUAUUGUCACCUCAAGAUAUAAGGUGUCACCCUACAGAGUUAUCCUGAGUCAGUCAAGCUGUGUGAAUGACAUUCAUUUUACAAUAAGAUAAGCACAGAGUUCAAUAGAGUAGUCACCACCGAUCAACUGCAGUCAUUCUUGGAUGGACUAGAUGCCUUGGUGUCUUUUAGAGCUGUACAAAGCAGCUGUAUCAUCAAGCAGGAGG
Long non-coding RNA from Sinocyclocheilus anshuiensis, 398 nucleotides. RefSeq lists it as uncharacterized. Lineage: Eukaryota; Metazoa; Chordata; Actinopteri; Cypriniformes; Cyprinidae. The record is from RefSeq and is a predicted model, not a curated record. The transcript has 3 exons.